Molecule: non-coding RNA, 32 nt
Filed under: Rattus norvegicus (Norway rat)
Lineage: Eukaryota; Metazoa; Chordata; Mammalia; Rodentia; Muridae
Source: RNAcentral
UUCACGGGGCAUCUCACACAAUGUUAGGGACU